Molecule: long non-coding RNA, 2233 nt
Filed under: Homo sapiens (human)
Lineage: Eukaryota; Metazoa; Chordata; Mammalia; Primates; Hominidae
Description: HSALNT0106242
Source: RNAcentral
GCUGGGUCUGGCCGCGGGCGGGGAAGCAGGAAUCCUCGGUCAUCUUCCAAGUGGGCUGCUUUCUGCGAUAGCUUCCUGUCCCCCUCCGACCCAUUCCUCCCAAGCGACUAAAACUCCUAAUGACAUUAUUUUAAAGCCUUCAAAACCCUCUUCCAUUGCCCUUAGAAUAAAGCCAAGUUGUGAUUUCGCCUCUACAGACCUCUCUACCCGCCCAGCUCUUCCUCGGAUAUUCUCCUAAACCAGAAGCUGCAGAGAAGGAAGGAUUUGGGAUUUGCGGCUACACAGCCAAGGACGCUUUUGUCAUCUUCAAAGGACCCCCUACACCCUACACGCUUGGCCCGCUCUGUUCAUUGCCAACAGAGUGAUGGUUGAAUGCAUUCACAUGGUUCCAAAUUCAAAUAAACAGCAAGAAGUCUCCCUCCCACCCUGUCUGCCACCCACUUGGUUUUCCUUCUCUGGAGGCAACCUGGGUUAGUGGUCAGAAGAUGCAUUUAACUGUUUUCCAGCUGAGGCCUUGUGAGAACUCCUCGGACACCAAUUUAAAUCUUUAUGUCCAGAACUCCUUUCUCCAAUCCAGGUAGAGCCACUCCCCUAUCCUAUCCCCACUCCCACCCUUCCCCCCUUCAGCCUCAAUCCUAAGCAGGCUCUAUUAACAAUGAUGAGCCACCAUUUCCUCGAGCUACUAACAAAUGCAAAUGUUUAAAUACUUUGUGGUUCUUUUUCCUCUUCUACAUUAAUUGCUAACAUUUAUCGAGGGCUUUCCGUGUGCCACGCACUGUGCUAAAUACUAGGCAUGCAUAUUCUUAUUUAAUCUGCCCCAAAUCUUCAUCAUUAUCCUUAUUUACAGAUGCAGACAGAAAUGAAAGUUCAGAGAGAUUAUGUAAUUUGCACCAAUUUGCAUCCAGGCCAACCUGAAUCCAAACGGUCUCACUCUUGUCAGCCCAGAUGGCAUGCAGUGGCACAGUCUAUGGAGGCAAUCAGGGUUAGCUGUCAGCUCACUGUGGCCUCAACCUCCCAGGCGCAAGUGAUCCUCCCACCUCAGCAUCCCCAGUAGCUGGGACUACAGGUGUACGCCACUACCCCCAGCUAAUUUUUGUAUUUUUUUGUAGAGAUGAGGUUCCACCAUUCUUGCCCAGACUGGUUUCGAACUCCUGGACUCAAGCGAUUUGCCUGCCUCGGCCUCAAAAAGUGCUGGGAUUACAUGCAUGAGCCACCACACCCGGACCCUCUCUCUUAAAUAGUGGCCCUUUUGCCUCUCUGCAACACAGGAAAAAUUCUGUUAGCCUGCAUCAGAAGGAGUGGCAUGGAGGCUUUGGAGUUAAGAAGAUUUAAUUCAAAUUAUGUGUCCGGUGCCUGCCAGCAAUGAGACCUUGGUAAGGUUUCUUAACCUCUCUGAGCUGGGACCAUACCUUCUGCGUUGGUUUAAUAUAAAGGUUAAAUGCAUGUAAAUAAAUGACUUCUAAAAUAAAUAACAUUCUAAAAUGUUAGUAACAACUAAAUACAAUAUUUAGAUCUUGUGAGGAUUUGAUUUGAAUAAAUAAGAUUUUUUUAAAAGACAUUUUUGAGACAAAAUGUAGACUAUCUGAUAUUAAGAAAUUAAUCACUUUUUCAGAUAUGAUAAUGGCAUUGCAGUUUUUUUUAAGUUCUUAUCUAUUACAGAUACAUAAUGAGGCAUUUUGAGUGAAAAUAUAUCUAGGAUUUGCUUUCCAAUACUCCAUCCCCUCCCCAUCAAAACACUAAAUAAAUGAAACAAGAUUAGUGAAAUACGGAAAAUUGUUGAAGUUAUUCAUUAUUCCAUUUCCCAUAUGGAACUUUCCAUACUAGUUUCCCUACUGCUGUUGAAUAUUUGACAUGUUUCAAAUACAUUUGAAAUAAAUUUAUUGUCUGAGAUGAUCAGGUUGAAAAAUAAUAAAAUGAAAUAAAUUUAAAAGUAAAAUAAACAUAACCCUUUUAAGCAUUAAAAUUAAAAAUUAUGAGGCUUGUUGAAUUAUUACUGUUAUAAAUAAUUACAUACAUGUAUUUUUGAAACAGUCUUGCUCUUUCACCCAGGCUGCAGUGCAGUGGCAUAAUCACAGUUCACUGCGGCCUCAACCUCCCAGGCUCAGGUGAUCCUUGCACGUCUGCCUCCCAAGUAGCUGGGACUGCAGGUGUGCACCACCAUGCCUGGCUAAAUUUUUCUCUUUUGUAGAGACGGGUUUUGCGAUUUUGCCCACACUGGUCUUAAAGUCCUGGG